UCUCCACCUCCAAGGUUCCAGAGCGUAAAACGACACCGCUCUCCAUCCUCCAUCACUCUUCUUCUUCUUCUUCAUUUCCUGCAAUCAGUGUUUCCAACUUUUGGAUUCGGUCCGGUCCUUGCAAUAACAUAAAGUUGAGUUAGGUCAAGCAUAUGAUUCAAAUCUUUUGGGUGUAGAAGGAAAAAUCUUUCAAGCUAGAAUGUUGGAGAUGUAAUGCCAGUACAAUAUGUUUUGUUGGUGCCCAUAUGCGAUCAAUAAAAGGAGCAUAGGUGCUUCCUAUAUCCCCAUCUUCCAGAAGAGAUUGUUGAGAUUUUUCAGGUCUCAGGUUCUGAAGCAUUGCUCCACCAACUCCAAGGGAGACUUUUCUGUUGCUUGCAACUCCUGUGGGAGUUCUCGAAGCCUUUUUUCCACUCUUUGAUGGACUGAGUUUUGAACUUUUGACUCAAAAGGUGCUUCCUGCUUAGCUAUCAGCUGUCCCUGGAUUCUCUUCUGGUCCUAAAAUACAUAACCAAUUCAAGCAUGGGUCAUAAAGAGCUGCAUAUAAGUACUACUCAUAUCUGCAUAGUGUUAUUCAAUCAGAUCGUACUCUAAUAAUAAUACGACUGGGAUUUAAGCUCA
Molecule: long non-coding RNA, 618 nt
Organism: Corylus avellana
Lineage: Eukaryota; Viridiplantae; Streptophyta; Magnoliopsida; Fagales; Betulaceae
Source: RefSeq, a predicted model, not a curated record